This 200-nucleotide ribosomal RNA is filed under the name uncultured bacterium. RNAcentral describes it as "partial 16S ribosomal RNA". It matches the Rfam family "Bacterial small subunit ribosomal RNA", at positions 29 to 254 of the family's 1533-position model. The record is from RNAcentral.
AACGAACGCUGGCGGCAGGCUUAACACAUGCAAGUCGAACGCUCGUAGCAAUACGGGAGUGGCAGACGGGUGAGUAACGCGUGGGAACUUACCCUCCGGUUCGGAAUAGCUCAGGGAAACUUGGAUUAAUACCGGAUACGGCCGCGAGGCGAAAGAUUUAUCGCCGGAGGAUUGGCCCGCGUUCGAUUAGCUAGUUGGUG